RNAcentral lists this transfer RNA (70 nucleotides) under Dipodomys ordii (Ord's kangaroo rat). It matches the Rfam family "tRNA". From Rfam's summary of the family: Transfer RNA (tRNA) molecules are approximately 80 nucleotides in length. Their secondary structure includes four short double-helical elements and three loops (D, anti-codon, and T loops). Further hydrogen bonds mediate the characteristic L-shaped molecular structure. tRNAs have two regions of fundamental functional importance: the anti-codon, which is responsible for specific mRNA codon recognition, and the 3' end, to which the tRNAs corresponding amino acid is attached (by aminoacyl-tRNA synthetases). tRNAs cope with the degeneracy of the genetic code in two manners: having more than one tRNA (with a specific anti-codon) for a particular amino acid; and 'wobble' base-pairing, i.e. permitting non-standard base-pairing at the 3rd anti-codon position. The record is from Rfam by way of RNAcentral. Lineage: Eukaryota; Metazoa; Chordata; Mammalia; Rodentia; Heteromyidae.
GGGAAGGUGGCUCAGUGGUAGAGUGCUUGCCUUGCAUGCAUGAGGCCCAGGAUUCAAUUCCUCAUCACCA